This 24-nucleotide non-coding RNA is filed under the name Mus musculus (house mouse). Lineage: Eukaryota; Metazoa; Chordata; Mammalia; Rodentia; Muridae. The record is from RNAcentral.
UAGGGUAAGUCAUUGUUUGGAGCC